This 385-nucleotide long non-coding RNA is filed under the name Carica papaya (papaya). Its description in RNAcentral is "long non-coding RNA (CPAP_LNC003829)". The record is from RNAcentral. Lineage: Eukaryota; Viridiplantae; Streptophyta; Magnoliopsida; Brassicales; Caricaceae.
UCAGAGCAUCGAUCGGACAAGUUGGUUGCUGAGGAGGAGGUGGUGGCCUCAUGCCACCUCCACCUCCACCUCCACCUCCACCUCCACCACCUCCGGAUGGUGGAUCACCACCUCCUCCACCUCCUCCACCUGAAUGAGGUCCGCCACCAGGACUGGGGCGACCACCUCCUCCGCCGCCGCCAGGUGGGGCACCUGGGUAAGGUGGGUAUGGAGAGUAAGGAGGAUAUACAACAGGAGGUGAUAUAACCGGUGGUGGAUUAAUAAUAAUAGGUGGCAUGAUUAUUGGUGGCCCUUUCCCGUGGCCUCCAUGGUGCGGUGGUUUCGUGUGUGGGGGUUUGGGAUGAGGAACUUUCGGGUGGGUAGGGCGGUGAUACGGUGGAUAUGG